RNAcentral lists this long non-coding RNA (224 nucleotides) under Gossypium barbadense (sea-island cotton). RNAcentral's name for it is "long non-coding RNA (GBAR_LNC007116)". Lineage: Eukaryota; Viridiplantae; Streptophyta; Magnoliopsida; Malvales; Malvaceae. The record is from RNAcentral.
GGCUAAUUUGAAAGAAAAUUGAAGUCUAAAAUCUUACUCAUGUUGAAUAUGCUUGUAUUUUGAUGUUUGGUGGUAGAAAUUGCAUGUUUGUUGUUUGUUAAACAACAUUUGUAAAGUGAUUUUCGACAAAAAAGGUCAAAUAGGGACUUAUUUGUAAAAGAUUAUAAAAUGUGUAGAAAAGUGUGAAUAAAUGAAAAAUAUGGGCUGUUAUGAGUACAAGUAAU